UUACGGCCGUAUCAAGCUGAAACAUUGGUUCCCUUACGAUCACCGAAGCUAAGCAACGUCAAGCCUGGUCAGUACCUAGAUGGGUAACCGCUUAGAAAUACCAGGCGCUGUAAU
This is a non-coding RNA of Acanthosepion pharaonis, 114 nucleotides long. The record is from the annotation of a GenBank genome assembly. NCBI's taxonomy places the organism in Eukaryota, Metazoa, Mollusca, Cephalopoda, Sepiida, Sepiidae.